AUUGAACGCUGGCGGCAUGCCUUACACAUGCAAGUCGAACGGCAGCAUGGAGAGCUUGCUCUCUGAUGGCGAGUGGCGAACGGGUGAGUAAUGCAUCGGAACGUACCGUGUAAUGGGGGAUAACGUAGCGAAAGUUACGCUAAUACCGCAUACGACCUGAGGGUGAAAGCAGGGGAUCGCAAGACCUUGCGUUAUACGAGCGGCCGAUGUCAGAUUGGCUAGUUGGUAGGGUAAAGGCCUACCAAGGCGACGAUCUGUAGCGGGUCUGAGAGGAUGAUCCGCCACACUGGGACUGAGACACGGCCCAGACUCCUACGGGAGGCAGCAGUGGGGAAUUUUGGACAAUGGGGGAAACCCUGAUCCAGCAAUGCCGCGUGAGUGAAGAAGGCCUUCGGGUUGUAAAGCUCUUUCGGCUGGGAAGAAAUCGCACAGGCUAAUACUCUGUGUGGAUGACGGUACCAGCAUAAGAAGCACCGGCUAACUACGUGCCAGCAGCCGCCGUAA
Molecule: ribosomal RNA, 504 nt
Filed under: uncultured bacterium
Lineage: Bacteria
Description: partial 16S ribosomal RNA
Rfam family: Bacterial small subunit ribosomal RNA
Source: RNAcentral